Molecule: long non-coding RNA, 606 nt
Organism: Magnolia sinica
Lineage: Eukaryota; Viridiplantae; Streptophyta; Magnoliopsida; Magnoliales; Magnoliaceae
Exons: 3
Source: RefSeq, a predicted model, not a curated record
CCAAACCUCUCUCUCUCUCUCUCCCUCUGCCAUGACUGCCGGCAACCUCGACGACGCGGGAUGAAAAGGUAAUGGCUCCAGCGUCAUUGGAAAUCCAAGGCUUCGGCCGUCAGCGAUAGGACGCGAGUACAAGACGUCGAUAAUGGCUGAUGGGCAAGAAAGAACGAGAUGCAAGCCAUCACCGACGCCUGCAUCAUCGAAAGAUGAUAAUAGCUGCCGGCCUCUAACAAUCACAGUGUUACAUCUUUUAAGCAAACGGGUGGUACUCUUUGCUGGAUGUAUAUGUCGCCAUGGAUUAACCGCUCAAAAAGCUUCUUUGCAUUCAAGUGUUUUGUUAGAUUUACUAAGAGAAUGAUGAAGCUUGUUGGUUUCCAUCAUAUUCAUCAGGGUUUUAAUUCUUCUGAGUGAGAUUUUUCUUAACACUUUUCUUGUUAUUAAUUGAUCAUGGAAUUAUUGUUUUAAAUUUUAAGGAUCUUAUUUGAUUAUAUUGGGGGUUGAUAUGUGGAGAUUCUUUUCUUCCCUUUUAGUUAUAAUACCAUGCAUUUACCAUUUUUUAUGGUUCAACAUAUGUACUUGCUGUUUUUUUUUUUUACUUGUCCAUCAUGU